CUUUAUUACUAUUUGCUGAAUGAAAAUCACUUGUGUGUUAACUAGCUAUAUCAAGGAGGAAAGAAACUUUAUCUGGAGCAACCGCUAAAAGAAGAGGUGAAAAUCCGCCUCCCCGGAACUGCCCCCGAAGAAAGAGAUGCUAAAACCUGCAUUAGAUGCACCACCUGUCAUUGCAGACUACAAAGAGGUCACCGUAACCAAGUUUAAUAAAGCAGAAACAGCUUGUUAAACUUGAAUGGCAAUUUUGAGGGCAGGACUCCUGAAAACUAGAACAAGACAAUACCUCGUAGCAGAUGAUGGAUAAUUGCUGUGAUUUUUGCCUGCUUGAAAUUCUCUAUCUGUAUUAUGUGCUUUAUUUUGUUAAGAAAUGGCUACAUUCUUCUGAAAUCCCCCUGGAGGAGUCACUCACAUACCUGUGCCCAGGACACAAUCGGAAGACUAAUGCUAAUGAAUGCUUUUCUGAAGAUCUUAUUUCCUUAAAGCUGAGACUACAAGGCUGAAGAUUUCAUCAGGGUUCACGCUGGGUCCCUAACUCAAGGCACAGUGACAACAAUGGGCAAGAGAAAAAAUGCUCCAAUUCCUCAGAAUGGAGCGUAGUGAAGACCCUGAGUACCAGCCCACCAUAGACUGCCUGCACAGGAGUGAAAGCAAUACCCCAAAUCCCUCUGCCAGGGUGUGAUGAAGAUCCAGCCUGCAGGCUCCAGGGCAUGGGCACUGAAGAGGUAACUGAACACAGCUGAAAUGAA
Molecule: long non-coding RNA, 746 nt
Filed under: Chrysemys picta bellii (western painted turtle)
Lineage: Eukaryota; Metazoa; Chordata; Testudines; Emydidae
Description: lncRNA (ENSCPBG00000015919.1)
Source: RNAcentral